Long non-coding RNA from Patella vulgata (common limpet), 3654 nucleotides. RefSeq lists it as uncharacterized. The record is from RefSeq and is a predicted model, not a curated record. The transcript is spliced from 8 exons. NCBI's taxonomy places the organism in Eukaryota, Metazoa, Mollusca, Gastropoda, Patellidae.
AGGCUACCACUAUCGCGCUACAUCAUAUUGACACUAUAUCUGUCGGUGUACGUCUAUAAUUAUAAUAUUAUGACUAUAUGUAGUAUGAAAAUAGGUCACCUUAUAGGGAGAUAUACUAUAAUGCUUAUACGUUUAAUUUUAUACACAGGUUAAUAGAUGACCCGGUGCCCGCAGAUGAUACCUCGAUCGUGCAUAGAGCUCACGCGUUCCAGAAGGUAGUCGAUGAUACACAACGGAAAGGUGUGAUUUACAACAAGAAAGCAUUAACGAAGGAUUUUUCAAACGGGAUAUCCGUGUGGGGAAGUAUCGCCAUGUCAUUUUUGCCACAGAGUAUCAUUGAAUUUGUUAUAUUUAUGAAAUUGUUAUGUAUUGAAUAAAAUGAUUUACUUUGUUGUUUAUUUAUGAACGGGUCCGCUCUAGCGUGGAGAUGUUCCGAAAACCAGGGGGAAAUGAUGUUAAAGCGAAUGUGUCCCGAAAGUAAACUAUGUCGUGUGGACUACUUAACCAACGUAUUUCUACAACCCGAAAUUACACUAAUCGUGUGGACGACUCCACUAACGGGUGUGGACGACUCCGCCAACGAGUGUGGACAACUUCACCAGAUUUUUCGUGUGGACGACUUUGCUUGUGGACGACUUGACUGAUAUUCCUCUUGCCGUGCCUUCGGUCCUGCACCUGCUUCUUUUUUUUCUUUUGAACAUACAAUUAUUCCGGUGGGUGCAUGGGUAUUUUGUUUAUACGACACAGUAUGAAAGUGCCAUUUAACGAAAACGAAAGAUGACUAAGAUGCCAAGUUAUGGCAACUUCAAAGUAAAUAGCACGGUCUGCUUAGUCACAUAAUAGAGUAAUUAAUUUAGAAGCUUCACACAGAACGAUAAUUUGCCUUACACCAGAGAAUUUAGUAAGGCAGAGUUGGGUGAAGCUUGGUGAUUUUAUUUAUAUUUUCUUUUCUUUUUGUAUAGAAUUGGUAUAUCAGAUGGUUGGAGAUGUUGUUGAUAUAGGGAUGCAUUCUGUUGGACCAUAUGAUCCAGAGAUAGUGUUGGACAUUGAUAUAAAUUAUGCCAAAUUUAUAUGAUGUAGGUGUUUGUUUUUUUUCGGUUGUACAUUCUUACUAUCAAUGAGUGACCUGCAGUACAAGUGCAGACUUUUUCUUUAAUCGAUAGGUUGAAAUGAGUCAUUUGAUGGUUUACGAACACCAACAUGGAGGAUUUCGGUUUUACCUAAAUUUAGUUCAGAACUAGAUACGGAGCCAAAAUUUAUACGAAAAUGGGUACAGAAAAUCUGCAGACGCCUGCAAGAAUCGCAUAAAGAAUAUGAAGCAUUCUUAUAAAAAAAAUAAAGGACCACAACAAUAAAAGUGGGAGUGGCAAGAAAACUAGCAAGUUUUUUGACGCUAUGGAUAAAAUAUUAGGAACCAGACCCGCUACCCGUCCAACACAUAUUCUGGAGACAAGUAUUAAUUCAGAAACACAAGAUUUGGAUGAUUUUGAUGAUGAUGAUAAUGAUGAGGAACCAACAAGAGUCAAUUUGGAAAAUGAAGAAAAUGAGCCUACAGAAACCGUCCUCCGUAAGCAGCCAGAAAAAAAAGGACCAGAAAAGAAAAAAAGAAACAGAGAGGAUAUAAUUCAACGUGUUCUGAAUGAGACAACAACCAGCUUUAUAAAUUAUCAAAGAGAACAAGAAAGAUCAUAUUUUGAAUUCGAAGAAAAAAGAAUGAAAAUGGAGGCAGAUUCAUAGAGACUUAGAAAAGAGCAGAGACGGGAGGAUCGACUUAGAGCUGAGGAACAACGACGCGAGGAUAGGGAAAGAGAUAGGCAACAUGAAUUAAGAUUAUGGAGUUUGUUUGCCAAUCAGGGAUUUCAGCAGCAUCAAUUUUCUCAACAACAAAAUGGACAAUUUUUACAAGGAGCUAAUGGACACACAUAUACAAAUUUAUAAAACCAUAUUAUUUUCAAGACCUAUCAUUUUGUGCCAAAAGUUCUGCUAUGUAGAGCAUUUAUUUUCAUUGAUAACAGUUAAUUUUUGUUUGUAGAAAUACAUAGUUUUAUUUAUCAUUCCAGUGUGCCAAGACUAGAGUUUUAAUAAAUUAAUUUCCAUGUUUUAAUUAUUAAUAUCCAUAUCAUUUAACUUAAUGUAUCAUGAAGCUGAAUCAUAUUAUUUUCAAGAUAUACCAUUUUGUGCCAAAAUAUCUGACAUGUAGCGCAAUUAUUGUCAUUGAUAACAGUUUAUUUUUGUUUCUACAAAUACAUGAAUUUUAUUUGUCAUUCCAUUUUACCAUGGCUCAAGUUUUAAUAAAUUUAUUUCCAUGUUUUAAUUAUUAAUAUCCAUAUCAUUAUCAAAUGUGUCAUGAAGCUGAUAUAUGUACUUGGUUGUGAAAGUUAACUGUAGUUGUAACACGUUUUAUGUGAUUUCAGUUUUUAUGAAUUUAAAUUACCAGUAUGAGAUUAAUUGUUUUAAUGGCAUUUAGCAAUUGAACUGGGAAUACACAGGACAAUCCUUGUUUAUAUCUAAAGCAAAGUUUUGACUUGGCUUCUUAUCGUUAUCAAAUAAUGCGAAACGGUAUGAGGUGGGUGUUUUCUUCUUUGUAAGUCAAUUGAUAAGCCCCUAAUAAGAACAAAACAGUCUGUUAUGUUUUCAAAAAUGGUAAAUUCUCUUUUAUUUAAUACAUUAAUUGAAAGACAUAAAUUAAAAAUUGAUCAAUAACUUUAUAGUGUAGGCUUGUACAGUGGACUCGGAAUAUUCCGAAUUAUUAGACCAAUCUGGGGACCCCCGUUAAACGAUUUCUGUUGAAUUAACAUUGGAUAAUCCGGCCUUCAAUCAGUGGGUGUUAACAGACAAGCAAUCAAUUAUCGGUGAGCUUAAAGUAUGUGUCAGUCUUUGUUAAUAAAACCUUGAUAAUUUUAUAAUUUCUUGUAAGAGAGUGCUUGGUAUUUCAUUUGAUUUUUUCACGUCAAAUACAGCAACAUUAAAUAUAAAUUGCUGAGAUGAAGAAUCACUAUCAUAAUAAUAUUUUGUUCAUAACGACGCACAAGUGUUUUGUACGCACCCAAAGUAAAAACAUAAUAAUUUUAUAUAAUAAAGUUUCAAAUGUACAGAAAGGUUUAUCAUAUUUUUAAGUUCUGGGUAUUCGAAGGUGGAUUAAAAUAAUACUUUGGUAUUCGAGGUACAAUAAUACUUGCGGUUUUGAGACAAUUAAGUAUUCCGUCAUGGUGUAUAAUCCGGCAUUGUAUCGGUCCUGUACAAUGUUGAAAGUGAAAGAGUCCACUGUAUAUUUUUAAUUACAUACACUUCUUCAAUGAUGGACAACAAAGAUGACAAUUGGACCUCUUAUUAUAUAAUCCAACUCUGGCUUAAUGAGAUGCAUGGAUCAAAAAUCAAGAUGCCAAAAGGUGUCAAUUUAAAUUCUGUAUCCAAAUACCUUUAAAUUAGUAUGUGACUUAGAAAUAUGCUUGGAAUAUUUAAAUUUGAAUGUACCAUAAUAUUACUUUUAAGAAAGAAGAUAUUGAAAAUUUUGGAAACAAAUUGAACUCCAUAGCAACCAUUUGGCCAGAGCUGAUCACAUAUAUAGUUAUAAUAGACCCACUGUGUUAUAAGAUUAUCAGUUAUUUUUCUGUUGUAUGAUUUUUAUUAUGAAAAUAAACCAAUUUAGUUUGA